CAGUAGCCGCGGGAAUACGGAGGGUGCAAGCGUUAAUCGGAAUUACUGGGCGUAAAGCGCACGCAGGCGGUCUGUCAAGUCGGAUGUGAAAUCCCCGGGCUCAACCUGGGAACUGCAUUCGAAACUGGCAGGCUAGAGUCUUGUAGAGGGGGGUAGAAUUCCAGGUGUAGCGGUGAAAUGCGUAGAGAUCUGGAGGAAUACCGGUGGCGAAGGCGGCCCCCUGGACAAAGACUGACGCUCAGGUGCGAAAGCGUGGGGAGCAAACAGGAUUAGAUACCCGUGUAGUCCCUGUCUCUUAUAC
This 301-nucleotide ribosomal RNA is filed under the name uncultured bacterium. RNAcentral describes it as "partial 16S ribosomal RNA". It matches the Rfam family "Bacterial small subunit ribosomal RNA", at positions 509 to 807 of the family's 1533-position model. The record is from RNAcentral.